GAUGAACGCUGGCGGCGUGCCUAAUACAUGCAAGUCGAGCGAACAGACGAGGAGCUUGCUCCUCUGACGUUAGCGGCGGACGGGUGAGUAACACGUGUAUAACCUACCUAUAAGACUGGGAUAACUUCGGGAAACCGGCGCUAAUACCGGAUAAUAUAUUGAACCGCAUGGUUCAAUAGUGAAAGACGGUUUUGCUGUCACUUAUAGAUGGAUCCGCGCCGCAUUAGCUAGUUGGUAAGGUAACGGCUUACCAAGGCAACGAUGCGUAGCCGACCUGAGAGGGUGAUCGGCCACACUGGAACUGAGACACGGUCCAGACUCCUAAGGGAGGCAGCAGUAGGGAAUCUUCCGCAAUGGGCGAAAGCCUGACGGAGCAACGCCGCGUGAGUGAUGAAGGUCUUCGGAUCGUAAAACUCUGUUAUUAGGGAAGAACAAAUGUGUAAGUAACUAUGCACGUCUUGACGGUACCUAAUCAGAAAGCCACGGCUAACUACGUG
RNAcentral lists this ribosomal RNA (497 nucleotides) under uncultured bacterium. RNAcentral's name for it is "partial 16S ribosomal RNA". It matches the Rfam family "Bacterial small subunit ribosomal RNA", at positions 28 to 507 of the family's 1533-position model. The record is from RNAcentral.